CAGUCGCCACGGUAAAACGAAGGGUGCAAGCGUUACUCGGAAUUACUGGGCGUAAAGCGUGCGUAGGUGGUGGUUUAAGUCCGUUGUGAAAGCCCUGGGCUCAACCUGGGAAUUGCAGUGGAUACUGGGCGACUAGAGUAAGGUAGAGGAUAGUGGAAUUUCCGGUGUAGCAGUGAAAUGCGUAGAGAUCGGAAGGAACAUCUGUGGCGAAGGCGACUAUCUGGGCCAUUACUGACACUGAGGCACGAAAGCGUGGGGAGCAAACAGGAUUAGAUACCCCAGUAGUCCCUGUCUCUUAUAC
Molecule: ribosomal RNA, 301 nt
Filed under: uncultured bacterium
Lineage: Bacteria
Description: partial 16S ribosomal RNA
Rfam family: Bacterial small subunit ribosomal RNA
Source: RNAcentral